RNAcentral lists this ribosomal RNA (497 nucleotides) under uncultured bacterium. RNAcentral's name for it is "partial 16S ribosomal RNA". It matches the Rfam family "Bacterial small subunit ribosomal RNA", at positions 28 to 507 of the family's 1533-position model. The record is from RNAcentral.
GAUGAACGCUGGCGGCGUGCCUAAUACAUGCAAGUCGAGCGAACAGACGAGGAUCUUGCUCCUUUGACGUUAGCGGCGGGCGGGUGAGUAACACGAAGGUAACCUACCUAUAAGACUGGGAUAACUUCGGGAAACCGGAGCUAAUACCGGAUCAUAGUUCGAACGGCAGGGUUCUAUAGUGACAGAUGUCUUUGCUAUACCUUAUAGAUAUACCUGCGCCGGAUUGGCAAGUUGGUAGGGUAACGGCUUACCAAGGCAGCGAUACGUAGCCGACCUGAGAGGGUGAUCAGCCACACUGGAACUGAGACACGGUCCAGACUCCUACGGGAGGCAGCAGUUGGGAAUCUUGGGCAAUGGGCGAAAGCCUGACCGAGCAACGCCGCGUGAGUGAUGAAGGUCUUCGGAUCGUAAAACGCUGUUAGUAGGGAAGAACAAACGUAGAAGUAACUGGGCAUGUCUUGACGGUACCUAAAGAAAAAGCAACGGCUAACUACGUG